RNAcentral lists this ribosomal RNA (720 nucleotides) under Termes hispaniolae. Its description in RNAcentral is "partial 16S ribosomal RNA". The stretch from base 310 to 520 matches the Rfam family "Bacterial large subunit ribosomal RNA", at positions 1697 to 2031 of the family's 2925-position model. Lineage: Eukaryota; Metazoa; Arthropoda; Insecta; Blattodea; Termitidae. The record is from RNAcentral.
UUUUUAAGAAAUGAAUUUAAUUCGUGCGUCUAAUUUAAUUUCUGUUGUUGUUUAUUAAUUUUUAUUUGAUGUUAAGAUUAAGGGGGAUUAGCUCCUUGUUUUAUUUUUAUAAUUAUUAUUUUUAAUUUAGUUUUGUGGAUUUUAUGGUGAUUUUCAAUUUGAUUAUGUUAAAAUUUUAUUUUUUCUUUUGUUUCUUUUUUAUUAAUUUAAUUUGUUUAUUGGAAUGUUUACUUUAUUUUUGUUUUGUAUUGUAAUUAUUAUGUAAUUAGUAAAUUGUGUUUGAUUGUAUCAUUGUUUGUUUUGAGUGUUAAUUUCUUUUUAGGAAUUAGGCAAAAGUUUCAUGUCCGCCUGUUUAACAAAAACAUCUUUUCUUGUUAGUUUUUGAAGUAUGGCCUGCCCACUGACUUAGGAGUUGAAGGGCCGCGGUAUUUUGACCGUGCAAAGGUAGCAUAAUCAUUAGUUCUUUAAUUGUGAUYUGGUAUGAAUGGCUUGACGAGACAUGGGCUGUCUUGAUGGAAUUGUUUGUUGAAUUUGGUUUUUGAGUUAAAAUUCUUAGAUGUUUUUAUGGGACGAGAAGACCCUAUAGAGUUUAACAUUUUGCUUAUUGGUGAGGAUUAGGUUUGUUGUAAUGUUUUAGUAGGCUAAUUGUUUUGUUGGGGUGAUGGGAGGAAUUUUUGAAACUCUUCUUUAUUUAAUAUAUUUAUCUAUAUUAUUUGAUCC